UGAUCGCCAGAAAGGCAAAAGGUGGCAAAAGGUAUGCAGAAAUUUAGUAGAAGAUUGCACUCUCCGGAGCAGAAAAGAAUGCACUAUCGAGCAAGAUCCUUAUACAACAUAUGCUGACGGAGAAAGAUAGUUCCAAAAGGCAGCCGAAGAUUUCGAAUGAAAUGUUUCUUGCCCAGUAGAGAGCGCUGGCAGAUUCAAACUAUUACAGGAAGUGUAGGAAGAUAAAACUUACACCGGAGUAUCUUGAGUAGGCUUGGCUUACCAUUGGCUUCAACUACUUCAUCCUUGACCUCCUCCCUCCCUGUUGUGUCAUGGAGUCGAGUUCAUUAUGCGAAUGCAUUGGUGUUUUUUUCUUCGACUCCAUGGGUUUAGGAGCUAACAAGAACUGCAUGCAAUUUGGCAUACACUUGUAAAAAUGGAGAUUGGAAGGCAUCACUGCAUUUAUACUGAACACAAACACCACUUUCAGAAUUAUGGUCAGGCUUCAACUACUUCCGCUCCCGCUGUUGUGCGAUGGCAGCAAGUUCACCUCGCCGCAACCAUGGUGACGAUGGCCUCAUCUUCGACUCCGUGGUUUUGAGCCAUGCUCAUUUCAAAACUUAACAUAUGGCCAUUUCUGCAUCUCCAGAUGAGAGUGUGGUUGCUCUUGCAAAUGGAUCCCCUCACCUUCAUUUAUUGGGGAUGUACUACUGCCAGAACAUCACCGACUGGGCCAUGUACUCGCUCGCAGCAAAUAGCCGCUUCUGGAGUAAGGCCAUGAGCUGGGGCACAUAGGGUGGAAACAGGCAUAGCCAUGAGGACAAGGACGGGCUCUCAAACUCGAACAUCAUCCAGUUCACCGCACUGACGCCCCUGGCCAUCCAGUCCACAUGUGCCCAGAGGCAUUCACUCAUCGCCAGCGGCUGGCUUAGCCUAACCACCAUCCACUGCGCAUGUGUUACUGAUUUUUUCUCUGAUCCUACCUACUCUAUAACACCAUCUGGAGAGAUGAGGUGUUCUAUCGUUGUCAUAGUCAUUAUCAGGAUGAUCAUUGUUCCCAGGCUCAUCAGCUGCAUCAGAGCGGUGGCAAAAACACAGCGGUGGGAUCUCGGCACACUCGAAGUAGGCUGGUUGGUGGGAGCCCUCCGACAGUGAGCACGGUGACGACGAGGAGCUCUGCAUGCGAGGA
Molecule: long non-coding RNA, 1168 nt
Organism: Lolium rigidum
Lineage: Eukaryota; Viridiplantae; Streptophyta; Magnoliopsida; Poales; Poaceae
Exons: 6
Source: RefSeq, a predicted model, not a curated record